CACCUCAAUGUCCUUAUCAUCAUGAUCAACUUGAAACAAGUGUGGACACUCAGCACAGAAACACGUGCUGUAAUGAAAGGGCAGGAACAGAGGCAUCAAAGAGGCAUUGAAGGCUACGGUGGAUUUGGCCCCAAGCCAGCCAAAGGCACAGCUUCUCUCCUGGUCCAUGUCUCUGAAUCUCAUCCCGUUUGACGUAUAAAUACAGGUUGACUGUGCCCUCCAGACCACUCACUCUUGCCCUCUCACCUGACCUUGAUCUCCAAGUGACCCCAGACAUGAGGACAUUCACUCUUCUGGCUACUUUUCUCCUAUUGACUCUCCAGACCCAGGCUGAACUCCUCCAAGAGACAGCUGACUAGGUUCCUCCCCAGGACCACCUUUGGGCCAAGGACCAGGACCAGGCAGGGGACAGUGACCAUGACGUGGCCAUCUCCCUCACAGGAGAGGAACGCCUCACUCGAACUUCAGGACGUGGGACAGGAACCUAUUGCUUUUGCACACUCAAAAAUUUCUGCAACUUCCUAGUAAAAAAAAGCUGGGUCCUGCAGGUUGUAUGGCCAUCGACGCACACUUUGCUGUCGCUAAGCUUUUGCACACAGACCCGAAGGACUGUGAGAUGCCACUGAAGACCUGAAGCAGCUUUCAGUCUUUGUACCUGUGCCAUUUCUUCUUUCUCUCUCCAUAAUAAACUUCAAGCAUUAAACUCA
Molecule: long non-coding RNA, 707 nt
Organism: Myotis daubentonii (Daubenton's bat)
Lineage: Eukaryota; Metazoa; Chordata; Mammalia; Chiroptera; Vespertilionidae
Source: RefSeq, a predicted model, not a curated record